This 1243-nucleotide ribosomal RNA is filed under the name metagenome. Its description in RNAcentral is "bacterial LSU rRNA". It matches the Rfam family "Bacterial large subunit ribosomal RNA", at positions 1564 to 2816 of the family's 2925-position model. The record is from RNAcentral.
UGAAUACGAGAUGCUACGGCGUCGAAGCAGUCUAUGUCAUACUUCCAAGAAAAGCUUGCACUGUCAUAAACAAAUAAUGCCUGUACCAUAACCGACACAGGUGGGUAGGUAGAGUAUACUAAGGGGCGCGAGAUAACUCUCUCUAAGGAACUCGGCAAAAUGACUCCGUAACUUCGGGAGAAGGAGUGCCUUAUUUAUAAGGUUGCAAUAACAAGAUCCAAGCAACUGUUUACCAAAAACACAGGUCUCCGCUAAGUCGUAAGACGAUGUAUGGGGGCUGACGCCUGCCCAGUGCCAGAAGGUUAAAGAAGUUGGUUAGCAUCCGCGAAGCUGAUAACUGAAGCCCUGGUGAACGGCGGCCGUAACUAUAACGGUCCUAAGGUAGCGAAAUUCCUUGUCGGGUAAGUUCCGACCCGCACGAAAGGCGUAAUGAUUUGGAUACUGUCUCGGAGAGGGGCUCGGUGAAAUAGACUUGUCUGUGAAGAUGCGGACUACCUGCACCAGGACAGAAAGACCCUAUGAAGCUUUACUGUAACCUGAAAUUGAAAUUGGACUUUACUUGCGCAGUAUAGGUGGGAGGCGUUGAGAAUAUUCUUGCGGGAUUAUUGGAGCCAUCAGUGAGAUACCACUCUUGUAAUGUUAGAUUUCUAACUUUGUAUCAUUAUCUGGUCAAAGAACAGUUUCAGGCGGGCAGUUUGACUGGGGCGGUCGCCUCCUAAACGGUAACGGAGGCGCACAAAGGUUUCCUCUGAACGGGUAGAAAUCGUAUCUAGAGUGUAAAGGCAUAAGGAAGCUUGACUGUGAGACCUACAAGUCGAGCAGGGACGAAAGUCGGUCUUAGUGAUCUGACGGUGCUGAGUGGAAAGGCCGUCACUCAACGGAUAAAAGUUACUCUAAGGAUAACAGGCUGAUCUCCCCCAAGAGUUCACAUCGACGGGGAGGUUUGGCACCUCGAUGUCGGCUCAUCGCAUCCUGGGGCGGUAGUACGUCCCAAGGGUUGGGCUGUUCGCCCAUGAAAGCGGUACGCGAGCUGGGUUCAGAACGUCGUGAGACAGUUCGGUCCAUAUCCGGUGUAGGCGUUAGAAUAUUGAGAGGAGCCUUCUUUAGUACGAGAGGACCGAGAAGGACAUACCUCUGGUGUACCAGUUAUCGUGCCAACGGUAAACGCUGGGUAGCUAUGUGUGGAGUGGAUAACCGCUGAAAGCAUCUAAGUGGGAAGCCCACCUCAAGAUAAGUGUUCUCC